AGCAGUCGCCGCGGGAAUACGGAGGGUGCAAGCGUUAAUCGGAAUUACUGGGCGUAAAGCGCACGCAGGCGGUCUGACAAGUCAGAUGUGAAAUCCCCGGGCUUAACCUGGGAACUGCAUUUGAAACUGUCAGGCUGGAGUCUUGUAGAGGGGGGUGGAAUUCCAGGUGUAGCGGUGAAAUGCGUAGAGAUCUGGAGGAAUACCGGUGGCGAAGGCGGCCCCCUGGACAAAGACUGACGCUCAGGUGCGAAAGCGUGGGGAGCAAACAGGAUUAGAUACCCCUGUAGUCCCUGUCUCUUAUAC
Molecule: ribosomal RNA, 303 nt
Filed under: uncultured bacterium
Lineage: Bacteria
Description: partial 16S ribosomal RNA
Rfam family: Bacterial small subunit ribosomal RNA
Source: RNAcentral